Molecule: ribosomal RNA, 665 nt
Organism: Lupinus angustifolius (narrow-leaved blue lupine)
Lineage: Eukaryota; Viridiplantae; Streptophyta; Magnoliopsida; Fabales; Fabaceae
Rfam family: Eukaryotic small subunit ribosomal RNA
Source: Rfam
GGGGGAGUGUGGUGGCAAGGCUGAAACUUAAAGGAAUUGAUGGAAGGGAACAACCAGGAGUGGAGGCUGCAUCUUAGUUUGGCUCAACACGGGGACACUGACCAGGUCUAGACAUGGUAAGGAUUGAUAGAAUGAGAGCUCUUUCUUGAUUAUAUGGGUGGUGGAGCAUGGACGUUCUUAGUUGGUGGAUCAAUUUGUUUGUUUAAUUCCACUAACGAACCAAGGCUUAGCCUGCUAACUAUCUAUGUGGAGGUAACCCUCCACGACUAGCUUCAUAGAGGGACUAUGGCAGCUUAGGCCAUGGAAGUUUGAGGCAGCAACGAGUCUAUGAUGCCCUUAGAUGUUCUAGGCCGCACACAUGCUACACUAAUGUAUUCAACGAGUCUAUAGCCUUGCCUGACAGGCCCAAGUAAUCUUUGAAAUUUCAUCGUGAUGGGGAUAUAUCAUUGCAAUUGUUGGUCUUCUACGAGGAAUUCCUAGUAAGUGCGAGUCAUUAGCUUACGUUGACUAUGUCCCUACCCUUUGUACACAUUAUCCGUCGCUCCUUCAUUGAAUGGUCCGGUGAAGUGUUCGGAUUGCGACAACGUUGUGAGAAGUCCACUAAACCUUAUCAUUUAGAGGAAGGAGAAGUCGUAACAAGGUUUCUGUAGGUGAACCUGCAUAAA